RNAcentral lists this long non-coding RNA (264 nucleotides) under Cicer arietinum (chickpea). RNAcentral's name for it is "long non-coding RNA (CARI_LNC002528)". The record is from RNAcentral. Lineage: Eukaryota; Viridiplantae; Streptophyta; Magnoliopsida; Fabales; Fabaceae.
CGGGUUUAGGAUUUCUAGAUUUAUGUUUAAGGUUUUUGGUUUAGGGUUUUGGGAUUAAGGUUUCCAAUUUAGGGUUUCGAGUCUAGUGUUCCAUGAUUUGGGUUACGUGAUUCGGGUUUUGGGAUUAGGGUUUCAGGUUUAGCAUUUAGGAUUUCGAGUUUAAGGUUUCGUGUUUGUAUUAUUGGGUUUACGGUUUAGGGUUUAGGAUUUAGGUUUUCAGAUUUAGGGUUCUGGGAUUAGGGUUUAUGGUUUAGCAUUUAGGAU